CCCUGUCCCUCUCGACUCUCCCGCUGGCUAUUUUUAAUCGCAAUCAACGAGAGAAUUGCCAGCGAAUUACUUGCAAGAAAUCGCCGCAUAACUGAUAAAAACGCAAUGUGAACGAUGUUUAGCUAACUGUUUUUGCUGAGAAAACGAUCGAAAAAUCGUUUAUUUCACAUUUGGUACGUUUUACGAUCGAUGACGACGAUCAGCGGAUAGUGUGCAAGUAGGCGUAUUUCAUUUAGGACAAACAUAAAGCGAUGAUAAACAAUGCGAACAUUUUACCGAGAUUUCCGGGCCCCUCUGAGCACUCCGGGCCCCGGGUAUUUCNNNNNNNNNNNNNNNNNNNNCCCCCUCUCGCCAGCCUUGAUCACUGGUGUCAUGGUGAUAACCAUGCAGAUUCCAGGUCCAGGA
This 405-nucleotide long non-coding RNA is filed under the name Paramuricea clavata. Lineage: Eukaryota; Metazoa; Cnidaria; Anthozoa; Malacalcyonacea; Plexauridae. The record is from RNAcentral.